AUUGAACGCUGGCGGCAGGCCUAACACAUGCAAGUCGAACGGUAACAGGAAGAAGCUUGCUGCUUUGCUGACGAGUGGCGGAGGGGUGUGAAAAGUAUGGGAAACUGCACGAUGGAGGGGGAUAACUAGUGGAAACGGUAGCGAAAACAGCAUAAAGUAGCAAGAGCAAAGAGGGGGACCUCAGGGCAUCUUGCCAGAGGAUGUGACCAGAUGGGAUUAGCUAGUAGGUGGGGUAACGGCUCACCUAGGCGACGAUCCCUAGCUGGUCUGAGAGGAUGACCAGCCACACUGGAACUGAGACACGGUCCAGACUCCUACGGGAGGCAGCAGUGGGGAAUAUUGCACAAUGGGCGCAAGCCUGAUGCAGCCAUGCCGCGUGGAUGAAGAAGGCCUUCGGGUUGUAAAGUACUUUCAUCGGGGAAGAAGAGAGGAAAGUUAAUACCUUUCCUCAUUGACGUUACCCACAGAAGAAGCACCGGCUAACUCCGUG
This 490-nucleotide ribosomal RNA is filed under the name uncultured bacterium. Its description in RNAcentral is "partial 16S ribosomal RNA". It matches the Rfam family "Bacterial small subunit ribosomal RNA", at positions 29 to 507 of the family's 1533-position model. The record is from RNAcentral.